Molecule: ribosomal RNA, 254 nt
Filed under: uncultured bacterium
Lineage: Bacteria
Description: partial 16S ribosomal RNA
Rfam family: Bacterial small subunit ribosomal RNA
Source: RNAcentral
UACGGGGGGGGCAAGCGUUGUUCGGAAUUACUGGGCGUAAAGGGCUCGUAGGCGGCCAACUAAGUCGGACGUGAAAUCCCUCGGCUUAACCGGGGAACUGCGUCCGAUACUGGAUGGCUUGAGGUUGGGAGAGGGAUGCGGAAUUCCAGGUGUAGCGGUGAAAUGCGUAGAUAUCUGGAGGAACACCGGUGGCGAAGGCGGCAUCCCGGACCAAUUCUGACGCUGAGUGAGCGAAAGCCAGGGGAGCAAACGGG